Molecule: ribosomal RNA, 795 nt
Filed under: uncultured bacterium
Lineage: Bacteria
Description: bacterial SSU rRNA
Rfam family: Bacterial small subunit ribosomal RNA
Source: RNAcentral
AGAGUUUGAUCAUGGCUCAGAUUGAACGCUGGCGGCGUGCUUAACACAUGCAAGUCGAGCGGUAACAGGUGUAGCAAUACAUGCUGACGAGCGGCGAACGGGUGAGUAAUGCUUCGGAAUCUACCCAAUGGCGGGGAAUAACUAGCCGAAAGGUUAGCUAAUACCGCAUAAGCCCUACGGGGGAAAGCAGGGGAUCGUAAGACCUUGCACCGAUGGAUGAGCCGAAGUCGGAUUAGCUAGUUGGUAGGGUAACGGCCUACCAAGGCGACGAUCCGUAGCUGGUCUGAGAGGACGACCAGCCACACUGGGACUGAGACACGGCCCAGACUCCUACGGGAGGCAGCAGUGGGGAAUAUUGGACAAUGGGGGAAACCCUGAUCCAGCGACGCCGCGUGUGUGAAGAAGGCCUGCGGGUUGUAAAGCACUUUUAGUGGGGAAGAAAUGUUCAGGGUUAAUACCCCUGGAUCUUGACGUAACCCAAAGAAAAAGCACCGGCUAACUCUGUGCCAGCAGCCGCGGUAAUACAGAGGGUGCAAGCGUUAAUCGGAAUUACUGGGCGUAAAGCGUGCGUAGACGGUUAUGUAAGUCGGGUGUGAAAGCCCCGGGCUCAACCUGGGAAUUGCAUUCGAGACUGGAUAGCUAGGGUACGGAAGAGGGAAGCGGAAUUUCAGGUGUAGCGGUGAAAUGCGUAGAUAUCUGAAGGAACACCAGUGGCGAAAGCGGCUUCCUGGUCCAGUACCGACGUUCAGGCACGAAAGCGUGGGGAGCAAACAGGAUUAGAUACCCUAGUAGUCC